This is a non-coding RNA of Sus scrofa (pig), 3406 nucleotides long. The record is from RefSeq and is a predicted model, not a curated record. Lineage: Eukaryota; Metazoa; Chordata; Mammalia; Artiodactyla; Suidae.
GCCAGGGAUCGAACCCACAACCUCAUGGUUCCUAGUCGGAUUCGUUAACGACUGAGCCACGAUGGGAACUCCCAAGUACACCUUCUUCUAACCUAUUGGAGUGAUCUUGGGAUCUAAACUCCUGAGGAUGGAGGAUUUAGAAGAGAUGAUUCAAGUGGAGUUUCCCUAGUCCUCACCGGCGCAACGUACCUCUUCCUCCUGUCAAGAACUUUCUCGUCUCUCUCAUCAAGCCUGGCUGAAAAACCCUCACGCGAGCCAGCAAACAAGUGAAGGCAAUGACAUUUUUUAACAGCAUGACCCAGGUCAGCAAACCCUAGACAAGUUGCCAUGAUGACGGGGAUGGUGUGUGCCUGCUGGUUCGAACCUUUCUUGUCAUUUCUGUUACAAAACACAGCUAUUUCCUGUUCUGGGAAAGCUUGGAGGGGCAAGAAAAAGGAUGACAGGAAGAGAAGAGAUCCUCCGGAGAAAAUCUGGCAAAGGCUCUUGGAGGAUCUACAAUUUCUCCCUCUCAGGCAAGACUCUCUACCAAGGGUGGUUGCCAUGAGGAUGAGCCACCGCCAUCCAACUUACAAGGAACAUAACUGACCAGGAGUCAUGACUUCUGUGCUCUGAAAUCCAUCUCUGCAUCACGCCAUCCACAAGCUACUCCAGGGCAGUUACCAAGACUACCAAGGCAAACCUAUCCCUGGGAGAUGAAAAAUUCACCUGACAGGGGACUUUGGCUCAAAGGCUCUCCAACAACCUUGCCAAACUCUCUUAAAAGAGCAGAGAACUCUAGCACGCUUCCCCUCAACCUUCUAUCCUAGUCUCUCUUCUUCACCUGGGGUCAGAUUCACAUUACAACCUGACAGCAUUCCCAGGCUUCUAACAGCUCCCUCCCCAUUCCCCACCCACCCUACUCCCCCAAUGCAACAAAGAACAGAAUACUCAAAAAGGCCCUGCAUUUGACUGAAUGUUUUGCUGUAGCUGACUUGAAAUUCUUAAUAUGUUAUUUCUGAAAAAAGGGGACCCACAUUUUUCACUUUGUACUGGACACUGGUCUGGUUCACAGGGGCUGUUUUAAUAAAUCUCUUGUCUGGCUAGUUCUGCACCAGUGUUUCCUUCUUGGAGGACCCAGACUGACACCCCAGAUAUGAGUAUGAUGCUUCAUCAUUUCAUGUAAGCCUCUGCUCAACGGCCACCUCCUCAGAGAAGCUUCCUUUGCUGUCCUAAAUAAAGGAUACCCCACCCAACACAGUCCCCCUCUCUCUCUCUCUCAUUAUCUUGUUUUUAUUUUCUUCAUAGCGCCAUCUAAUUUUACUGCAUAUUUUUAUUUAUUGUUUGUUUUAUCUUCCCUUGAGAAUGUAAGCCAUACAGGGACAAAGACUUUGGUUUGUUUCGUGUUGUACCCCAGCACCUAUAACAAAGCCAGGCACAUAAUAGGUAAGUACAUCUUGCAAAUGUACGUCACAGACCUAUAAAAUAUAACAUUUCAAAAAUACAGGCCAGAAAUGAUGAAAGACUCCAAAGCCAAAGCAGGAGGCAUGACAGCAAAUACUGCAAUUAUCCAGAAGGAAACUGAAUCUUGACAUAGCUGCACAGGGCCCUUGGGCUGAGAUUUUAAUGCCCAAGUGAGGAUGGAUGAUGUAGUCUAGACACAUGCAAGGUAGGGAAACUGGAACUGAGAUACCUGCAUAUAGUCGGAAUUCUUAAAAACCUCCUUCCACAUGAAAGUAGGCCUAGAAAAACUAGCACUGCUCCCUAGUAACUCAGGGAAGAGCUCAGUAAAUCUGUAUUCUUCCCUAGUCUCAGUGUGAAAAAAAAAAUGUAUCUCAUAAAAAAUCAAAACACCAAGCCUGUGCCAUGCACAAGUGCGUGGCCCAAAUUUACAUUCUUUAAAUUGUGCAAGAAUCCUGAGCUGACAAAUCACCAUAAAAAUAUUUCCAGGACCAGAGAAACCUUUGCAGAAAUAAACCCAAAUUGCUCUGUAGAAGUAUUUUCAUAACUCAAGAUUCAUGACUCCCUCAGAAUAAGGGGCGCAACCCCUGCUAAACAAACCAGACAAAGAACCAAACCAGUUCAAGGGGAGAGGCCACAUACAUAACAAGUAGAAUUAGCACCUUAAGAACUGAUGGUAGUAGAAUAAUCUGAUGGAGUUAUAAACUAAUUAUAUUUAAAAGUAUUUUUAAGUGAAAGGAAGAAUAAAAACUAUAAUGAAAGAACCAGACUCUAUGAAAAAAGAAAUAGAUGGCUUUGGAAAAAAAAUAGAAAUUUUAAAAUUAAAAAUACAGGAUUGAGUUGAAUAUUAGAUACAGCUAAAAAGAGAAUUAGUAUCAUGGAAUAUAGGUCUGAAGAAAGUAGUCAUAAUGUAGUAGAGAAAAAAAAUAGAAAAUGUGAAAGAGAGGUUAUGAGACAUGGAGAGUAUGUUGAGAAAAUAAAAUAUACUUUUAACUGGAAUUCCCAGAGGGAAAAAGUAGGAAAUUGUGAGAGAGACAAUAUUAAAAUGAUAAUGACUCAGAAUUUAACAGAAUUUAAGUAAUACCCAUGUUGUUCAUUUGAACUAUCAUGAGUCCCAAGUAGAAUUCAAAAGAAACACACACACACAUAUCUGCACACAUUGUGGUAAACUGCAGAACACCAGAGUGGAAGAGAAAGUCAUGAAAUAAUCAGAGAGAAAAAGAGGUUACCAACCCAAUAUUAGUCAAGGACUUUUCAUCAAUGCCACAGAAGCAAGAAGAUAAUGGAAUAACAUAUUCAAUGUGGUAAAAGAAAAUAAAUGUCAAACUAAUAUUCUGUAUCUAACUAAAUUACUGCUCAAAAACGGAGGUGAACAAAGAUAUACCCAUACAAAGAAAAGAAAGGAAUAUCCAAUUCACAGAAGUUCCCUGAAAGAAAUAUUAAACAAUAAUAAUGUAUUUUCAGUAAUAAUAUAUUUCAGUAUAAAGUAAAUUAAAGAAAAGUAAGAUAAACAAUGAUGGGGGGGUUAGAAAUUAUAAACAGCUUGGAACUAAAACAAUAGAGAGCAAUAAUAUGGAAGUAUUAUUACCCUAAAUUAUUUUAAUAUUCAUGCAUUAUUUGGUAGAAGAACAACAAUUUUGAUCAAUUUUUAACAUUUUUAAAGCUAAAAUGCAAAUUAUAAUUUUACGGGAAAUGAGGGUGGGGAUAGGGAAGAAGAAAUGUGUUACUUCGAUAGUAAAAGAGAAGAGGAAAGGGGAAAAAAGACCACUCCAAUGAAACAUGUACAGAUAAAUAAAUUCAAAAACAAUUUGCCACAAGCAGAUCCUCAUUAAAGGAAAUUCAAAGAGUGUAUUUUAAGCCAUGGAAUUGAUGACAGAUGUAUAACAUAUAAAAGGAGACAGAAGAAAGAACUGAGAAGAUGCAAGAAGAUACAGGAUAUAAGAUCCCAAGCUAUAAGAAAGAAUUAUGA